Molecule: ribosomal RNA, 253 nt
Filed under: uncultured bacterium
Lineage: Bacteria
Description: partial 16S ribosomal RNA
Rfam family: Bacterial small subunit ribosomal RNA
Source: RNAcentral
UACGUAGGGGGCGAGCGUUGUCCGGAAUUAUUGGGCGUAAAGCGCACGUAGGCGAGUUGUUAAGUUGGGGGUGAAAUCCUGGAGCUCAACUCCAGAACUGCCUCCAAAACUGGCGAUCUUGAGUUCGGGAGAGGUGAGUGGAACUGCGAGUGUAGAGGUGAAAUUCGUAGAUAUUCGCAAGAACACCAGUGGCGAAGGCGGCUCACUGGCCCGAUACUGACGCUGAGGUGCGAAAGCGUGGGGAGCAAACAGG